GGGGAUUUAGCGCAGUGGUGCCGCUGCCUGCCUCGCAAGCACAAGGUCCUGAGUUUGAUCCCCAGUAUCCCCA
This 73-nucleotide transfer RNA is filed under the name Fukomys damarensis (Damara mole-rat). It matches the Rfam family "tRNA". Rfam says of the family: Transfer RNA (tRNA) molecules are approximately 80 nucleotides in length. Their secondary structure includes four short double-helical elements and three loops (D, anti-codon, and T loops). Further hydrogen bonds mediate the characteristic L-shaped molecular structure. tRNAs have two regions of fundamental functional importance: the anti-codon, which is responsible for specific mRNA codon recognition, and the 3' end, to which the tRNAs corresponding amino acid is attached (by aminoacyl-tRNA synthetases). tRNAs cope with the degeneracy of the genetic code in two manners: having more than one tRNA (with a specific anti-codon) for a particular amino acid; and 'wobble' base-pairing, i.e. permitting non-standard base-pairing at the 3rd anti-codon position. The record is from Rfam by way of RNAcentral. Lineage: Eukaryota; Metazoa; Chordata; Mammalia; Rodentia; Bathyergidae.